This 460-nucleotide ribosomal RNA is filed under the name uncultured bacterium. RNAcentral's name for it is "partial 16S ribosomal RNA". It matches the Rfam family "Bacterial small subunit ribosomal RNA", at positions 338 to 795 of the family's 1533-position model. The record is from RNAcentral.
CCUACGGGUGGCAGCAGUGAGGAAUAUUGGUCAAUGGGCGAGAGCCUGAACCAGCCAAGUCGCGUGAAGGAUGACGGCCCUACGGGUUGUAAACUUCUUUUGUCAGGGAGCAAUUUGGUACACGCGUGGGCUUAGCGAGAGUACCUGCAGAAAAAGCAUCGGCUAACUCCGUGCCAGCAGCCGCGGUAAUACGGAGGAUGCGAGCGUUCGCCGGAUUUAUUGGGUUGAAAGGGUGCGCAGGCGGAAGAUUAAGUCAGUGGUAAAAUUGAGAGGCUCAACCGCUGCGAGCCGUUGAAACUGGUUUACUUGAGUGAGUGAGAAGUAUGCGGAAUGCGAGGUGUAGCGGUGAAAUGCAUAGAUAUCACGCAGAACUCCGAAUGCGAAGGCAGCAUACCGGGGCUCAACUGACGCUCAUGCACGAAAGUGUGGGUAUCGAACAGGAUUAGAUACCCUUGUAGUC